GGCUUAAACCCUCAAUGCGCUUCUGAAAUUCGAGAAGUCAUUUCCGAAACGAAAAACCAGAAAUUAACAUGUCUUGCGCCACCGUCACCACCACCUUCGACCUCGGACCAGCUCUUAAUCCACGCAGCAGUACCAACAGUCUUAGACUUCCGAUUCCGUUCUCAAGCUGCCGUUUCGGUAACUCCCCCACGUCGUUCUCCGUGAGAUCCCUCCGCUCUAACUCCGGCAAUCACCUCUCUUUCUCUCCCCGGGACUCGCUUUUUUUAAAUGGCUCACGGCCUUCUUCUUCCAGUCUCUUAAACUGCCAUGCUCUUAAAUCUGACUCAUUGGUUUCACUUGGUGCCCAAACCGAUACUGCUUCUGAAGAAGAGAGGGUGGUGGUUUUGGUCAUUGGUGGAGGGGGAAGAGAACAUGCACUUUGCUAUGCCUUGCAGAGAUCUCCCUCUGUUGAUGCAGUCUUCUGUGCGCCUGGUAAUGCUGGGAUUUCCAACUCGGGGAGUGCCACUUGUAUUUCUGACCUUGACAUCUUUGACAGCUCUGCUGUAAUAUCCUUCUGCUGCAAAUGGGGUGUGGGGCUGGUUGUUGUUGGACCGGAGGCACCUCUUGUUUCAGGCCUUGCAAAUGAUCUAUCUAAGGCUGGAAUCCCUACUUUUGGCCCUUCAGCAGAGGCUGCUGCUUUGGAAGGUUCCAAGAACUUCAUGAAGAAUUUGUGUGAUAAGUAUGGAAUUCCUACUGCUAAGUACAAAACAUUUACCAAUCCAUCUGCUGCAAAGCAAUACAUUCAAGAGCAAGGGUCCCCAAUUGUUAUCAAAGCAGAUGGAUUGGCAUCUGGAAAGGGAGUUAUUGUUGCUACGACUUUGGAGGAAGCAUAUGAGGCUGUUGAUUCAAUGCUUGUUAAGGGUGUUUUUGGUUCUGCAGGUUGUCGUGUCAUCGUUGAAGAAUAUUUGGAAGGAGAAGAAGUGUCUUUUUUUGCCUUGGUGGAUGGAGAGAAUGCGAUUGCUCUAGAGUCUGCUCAGGACCAUAAACGAGUUGGGGAUGGUGAUACAGGGCCCAAUACAGGUGGGAUGGGGGCAUAUUCCCCUGCACCCAUAUUAACAAGAGAACUUCAGUCAUUGGUCAUGGAAUCCAUAAUCCUCCCUACUGUAAAAGGAAUGGCUGCAGAGGGGUGCAAAUUCGUUGGGGUUUUGUAUGCAGGGCUCAUGAUUGAGAAGAAGUCUGGCUUACCGAAGCUAAUUGAGUACAACGUGCGUUUUGGAGAUCCAGAGUGUCAGGUGUUGAUGGUUCGGUUGGAGUCUGAUCUGGCACAAGUUCUGCUUGCAGCCUGUAGAGGAGAGCUAAGCGGAGUAUCCCUGAACUGGUCCCCAGGGUCUGCCAUGGUGGUAGUGAUGGCAAGUAAGGGCUACCCUGGGGCCUAUGAGAAGGGAACUGUGAUUAGAAACCUUGAAGAAGCAGAGCAUGUUAGUUCAUGUGUUAAGAUAUUCCACGCAGGAACAACCCAAGACCCGGUGGGUAACUUCGUUGCAGUUGGGGGACGUGUGCUUGGGGUCACCGCAAAAGGAAGAGAUCUUGAAGAGGCGCGGGAUCGAGCUUACCAGGCUGUUGAUGAAAUUAACUGGUCAGGAGGAUUCUGCAGGCGGGAUAUUGGUUGGAGGGCACUUCCUCGGAAACAAUUUGCUACAAAAGGGUGAAUCAAAUGCUUUGUAUUGUAACACAGCAUGGGUGAAUAUUUAAAAAAAUUGCUCAUGGUAUAAAUUAACAUCUUCCAAAGAGAGGAGAUAAAAGGCCAGAGCUACUCAGUAUUGAAUCCAACGGCCAGCAUUCUCUCAUUCAUUCGCAGUGGGAGUACUAGAUCAUUCUCGAACUCUCCACGCGUCACAUCCCCUCUCCUUCCCUUGCUCAUAAACCCUCCUCCAACCCUAACCCUCGUCUAUCUUCCGUUUUUCUAUCUCUCGUUCCGAGCAAAGUUGUUGGAGUUUCGACUUCAACCCCACACUUCCUCUUCCUUCUUCCCUCCUCCGCUUUAGAUUUUUCAGUUUUAUUUUCUUCUUCUCUCUCACUCUCCCGUAUACUUCUCCCGUAUACUCUAGCCGAAACCCUCAUUCAUUGAUACUUUCUCAAUGGCUUCCUCCACAGCCCAAAUCCAUAC
Carya illinoinensis is the source of this 2146-nucleotide RNA transcript. It is a transcript of the gene named phosphoribosylamine--glycine ligase, with no coding region annotated. The record is from RefSeq and is a predicted model, not a curated record. NCBI's taxonomy places the organism in Eukaryota, Viridiplantae, Streptophyta, Magnoliopsida, Fagales, Juglandaceae. The transcript has 5 exons.